GUUGCAGGGUAUAGACCCGAAACCCGGUGAUCUAGCCAUGGGCAGGUUGAAGGUUGGGUAACACUAACUGGAGGACCGAACCGACUAAUGUUGAAAAAUUAGCGGAUGACCUGUGGCUGGGGGUGAAAGGCCAAUCAAACCGGGAGAUAGCUGGUUCUCCCCGAAAGCUAUUUAGGUAGCGCCUCGUGAAUUCAUCUCCGGGGGUAGAGCACUGUUUCGGCUAGGGGGCCAUCCCGGCUUACCAACCCGAUGCAAACUGCGAAUACCGGAGAAUGUUAUCACGGGAGACACACGGCGGGUGCUAACGUCCGUCGUGAAGAGGGAAACAACCCAGACCGCCAGCUAAGGUCCCAAAGUCAUGGUUAAGUGGGAAACGAUGUGGGAAGGCCCAGACAGCCAGGAUGUUGGCUUAGAAGCAGCCAUCAUUUAAAGAAAGCGUAAUAGCUCACUGGUCGAGUCGGCCUGCGCGGAAGAUGUAACGGGGCUAAACCAUGCACCGAAGCUGCGGCAGCGAACGUAUCACCCAAGACAACUUUACGGAGUUGACGAUUGACGGAGCGAAGCGACGUCAAAGCGUUCAUUAAAGUCGAGUUGGCUUAGGGAUACGUUCGUUGGGUAGGGGAGCGUUCUGUAAGCCUGUGAAGGUGUGUCGUGAGGCAUGCUGGAGGUAUCAGAAGUGCGAAUGCUGACAUAAGUAACGAUAAAGCGGGUGAAAAGCCCGCUCGCCGGAAGACCAAGGGUUCCUGUCCAACGUUAAUCGGGGCAGGGUGAGUCGACCCCUAAGGCGAGGCCGAAAGGCGUAGUCGAUGGGAAACGGGUUAAUAUUCCCGUACUUGGUGUUACUGCGAAGGGGGGACGGAGAAGGCUAUGUUGGCCGGGCGACGGUUGUCCCGGUU
Molecule: ribosomal RNA, 896 nt
Filed under: Salmonella enterica subsp. enterica serovar Typhimurium
Lineage: Bacteria; Pseudomonadati; Pseudomonadota; Gammaproteobacteria; Enterobacterales; Enterobacteriaceae
Description: partial 23S ribosomal RNA
Rfam family: Bacterial large subunit ribosomal RNA
Source: RNAcentral